AGUGAACGCUGGCGGCAGGCCUAACACAUGCAAGUCGAACGGCAGCACAAGAGCGCUUGCUCUCUGGGUGGCGAGUGGCGGACGGGUGAGGAAUGCAUCGGAAUCUGCCCAUUUGUGGGGGAUAACCUCGGGAAACCGGGACUAAUACCGCAUACGACCUACGGGUGAAAGCAGGGGAUCUUCGGACCUUGCGCAGAUGGAUGAGCCGAUGCCGGAUUAGCUAGUUGGAGGGGUAAAGGCCCACCAAGGCGACGAUCCGUAGCUGGUCUGAGAGGAUGAUCAGCCACACUGGGACUGAGACACGGCCCAGACUCCUACGGGAGGCAGCAGUGGGGAAUAUUGGACAAUGGGCGCAAGCCUGAUCCAGCCAUGCCGCGUGUGUGAAGAAGGCCUUCGGGUUGUAAAGCACUUUUGUUGGGAAAGAAAAGCAGCCGGUUAAUACCCGGUUGUCAUGACGGUACCCAAAGAAUAAGCACCGGCUAACUUCGUG
This 490-nucleotide ribosomal RNA is filed under the name uncultured bacterium. RNAcentral's name for it is "partial 16S ribosomal RNA". It matches the Rfam family "Bacterial small subunit ribosomal RNA", at positions 29 to 507 of the family's 1533-position model. The record is from RNAcentral.